This 465-nucleotide ribosomal RNA is filed under the name uncultured bacterium. RNAcentral describes it as "partial 16S ribosomal RNA". It matches the Rfam family "Bacterial small subunit ribosomal RNA", at positions 28 to 507 of the family's 1533-position model. The record is from RNAcentral.
GACGAACGCUGGCGGUGUGCUUAACACAUGCAAGUCGAACGGAAAGGCCUUCUUGUGUGGUAUUCGAUUGGCGAACGGGUGAGUAACACGUGAGUAACCUACCCUUCUCUCUGGGAUAACUUCAGUAAACUGGGGCUAAUACCGGUUAUGAGCUACUGCUGCUUGGUUGGGGUUGGAAAGUUUCGGCGGUUGUGGAUGGACUCGCGGCUUAUUAGCUGCUUGUUGGGGUAUUGGCAGAUCACGGCUUUGACGGGUAGCCGGCCUGAGAGGGGGACCGGACACAGUGGAACUGAGAUAGGGACGAAACUGCGACGGAAGGCAGCAGUGGGGAAAAAUGCAGAAUGGGCGGAGGCGUGAUGAAGAAAAGCCGCGUGCGGGAUGAAGGCCUUCGGAGUGUAAGCCGAUUUAGCCUGUGACGAAGCGUGAGUGACGGUAAUGGGUAAAGAAGCACCGGCUAACUACGUG